This 324-nucleotide ribosomal RNA is filed under the name uncultured eukaryote. Its description in RNAcentral is "partial 18S ribosomal RNA". It matches the Rfam family "Eukaryotic small subunit ribosomal RNA", at positions 1470 to 1796 of the family's 1831-position model. The record is from RNAcentral.
CCCUUAGAUGCUCUGGGCCGCACGCGCGCUACACUGGUCGAUGCAACGAGUUUCUUUCCUUGGCCGACAGGCCUGGGCAAUCUUUGAACAUCGAUCGUGAUCGGGAUAGAUUCUUGUAAUUUUUGAUCUUAAACGAGGAAUUCCUAGUAAACGCAAGUCAUCAGCUUGCAUUGAUUACGUCCCUGCCCUUUGUACACACCGCCCGUCGCACCUACCGAUUGAAUGGUCCGGUGAAAUCUCCGGACUGGCGUGAGUCGGAGCGAUCUGACAAACACCGGAAAGUUGAUUAAACCUUACCAUUUAGAGGAAGGUGAAGUCGUAACA